CGGACGGGUGAGUAAUGUCUGGGAAACUGCCCGAUGGAGGGGGAUAACUACUGGAAACGGUAGCUAAUACCGCAUAACGUCGCAAGACCAAAGAGGGGGACCUUAGGGCCUCUUGCCAUCGGAUGUGCCCAGAUGGGAUUAGCUAGUAGGUGGGGUAAUGGCUCACCUAGGCGACGAUCCCUAGCUGGUCUGAGAGGACGACCAGCCACACUGGAACUGAGACACGGUCCAG
This 232-nucleotide ribosomal RNA is filed under the name uncultured bacterium. RNAcentral's name for it is "partial 16S ribosomal RNA". It matches the Rfam family "Bacterial small subunit ribosomal RNA", at positions 99 to 334 of the family's 1533-position model. The record is from RNAcentral.